Molecule: long non-coding RNA, 360 nt
Organism: Carassius auratus (goldfish)
Lineage: Eukaryota; Metazoa; Chordata; Actinopteri; Cypriniformes; Cyprinidae
Exons: 2
Source: RefSeq, a predicted model, not a curated record
GGCUUUGGAGUACUCAGAUUGCUCUGUCGUGCAGCACACGGGUGUUUGUCAGCGACAGGAUUUUCUCCAGAGCUCACAUCUGAAUCUCUCCAUCAAAGAAUGUCGACUUUAGAAGAGUUUUUGUGGUGUUUGAUCGUGUUUUGGUGGGAGUGAUGAGAAGCAGCGGUGACAAGCAGCAGGAAGACGCGGAGAGAUGUGUGCCAGCGAGCCAUAUAGCAUUAGCACUGACUUCCGUAUCCUGUUUGUCAGAGAACAAAGCUUUUUGGUGACUGCCUUGAGUGUCUUCAUACACUGUAAAUACUGUAAAUAGUUUCUUUUAGUUUUUCAGUGACUUGAUAUGCAUAAUAAUUAGCAGAGAAA